This 253-nucleotide ribosomal RNA is filed under the name uncultured bacterium. RNAcentral's name for it is "partial 16S ribosomal RNA". It matches the Rfam family "Bacterial small subunit ribosomal RNA", at positions 524 to 776 of the family's 1533-position model. The record is from RNAcentral.
UACGGAGGGGGCUAGCGUUGUUCGGAAUUACUGGGCGUAAAGCGCACGUAGGCGGCUUUGUAAGUUAGAGGUGAAAGCCCAGGGCUCAACCCUGGAAUUGCCUUUAAGACUGCAUCGCUUGAACCAUGGAGAGGUGAGUGGAAUUCCGAGUGUAGAGGUGAAAUUCGUAGAUAUUCGGAAGAACACCAGUGGCGAAGGCGACUCACUGGACAUGUAUUGACGCUGAGGUGCGAAAGCGUGGGGAGCAAACAGG